CUUUUGGAUCACCUCCCGCUCCUGGGCCUGAGUCUUGGCCCCGCGAAUCUCUUCGAUGAGGUCCUGAAGCUUCAGCGAAGGCACCACCAUCCUGACUGGCAGAGUCCGGGAGUGGAGAAACACUCUCUGGUCGGGCGUGCCUGGGCUUUCGGCCCAGGCCCGUCCUGUGUCAAGACCCUAAGAGCCCGGGUCCCACAGCGCUUCCUGGUACGGGGCCGAGCAGGGGUUGGUGCUCCGUGCGGUCCUUCCCUCUCCCCGCCUCCACCACGGGACCCCGCCCUCCUGGGCCGACUGCAGAGCCUUCCUGAAUCCUCUGACCUCGGGCCUCAGGCUUUAGCGGAGAGACAGCAUGAUAGGCCUGGAGUUCUUCAAGAGGCCUCCUCGCACAUCCUUACCACCCGGAGAGCCUCAGUUUGGAUUUGAAGCCAUCGCACCCCAAAGGAGAUGACAAUCCCCCCCCUUUUUUGAACUUUUUUAUUAAUAUAUUUUUUUUGUUAAAUUUCUUUGUAUUUUUUUCCUGCAAGACUUGGUGUUGGCGGC
This 540-nucleotide long non-coding RNA is filed under the name Homo sapiens (human). RNAcentral's name for it is "HSALNT0208292". Lineage: Eukaryota; Metazoa; Chordata; Mammalia; Primates; Hominidae. The record is from RNAcentral.